Molecule: ribosomal RNA, 459 nt
Filed under: uncultured bacterium
Lineage: Bacteria
Description: partial 16S ribosomal RNA
Rfam family: Bacterial small subunit ribosomal RNA
Source: RNAcentral
CCUACGGGAGACAGCAGUGAGGAAUAUUGGUCAAUGGGCUAAGGCCUGAACCAGCCAAGCCGCGUGAGGGAAGACGGUCCUAUGGAUUGUAAACCUCUUUUGUCGGGGGGCAACGAGGCCACGUGUGGCAGAAGUGAGAGUACCCGAAGAAAAAGAAUAGGCUAACUCCGUGCCAGCAGCCGCGGUAAUACGGGGGAUGCGAGCGUUAUCCGGAUUUAUUGGGUUUAAAGGGUGCGUAGGCGGAACAUUAAGUCAGCGGUAAAAUCCAGGGGCUCAACCCCUUUAAGCCGUUGAAACUGGUGAUCUAGAGUGGGCGAGAAGGAUGCGGAAUGCGAGGUGUAGCGGUGAAAUGCAUAGAUAUCUCGCAGAACUCCGAUUGCGAAGGCAGCAUACCGGCGCCCGACUGACGCUGAGGCACGAAAGCGUGGGGAUCGAACAGGAUUAGAUACCCUAGUAGUC